Long non-coding RNA from Pongo pygmaeus (Bornean orangutan), 828 nucleotides. RefSeq lists it as uncharacterized. NCBI's taxonomy places the organism in Eukaryota, Metazoa, Chordata, Mammalia, Primates, Hominidae. The record is from RefSeq and is a predicted model, not a curated record. The transcript has 3 exons.
CCUGUUUUACUUAGACUGGGCCACUUUUGGACCUAUUCAGAAAUUCUGAAUCAUCAGCUCAUGUCAUUUCUAAAGCCAAGUCCUCAUCCUUUGAGUCAUCAAUUAUCAUAUAUUUUUACUCAUAGAUAUUGUCCCUAUCACUUUUUAAAGAUGCAAUUUAUGUCUACUUUCCAGUAAUCGUCAUAUUUUUACCAAAGCUUUUAGCUACCAUCGUUUUUGCCACCUAUGCACUUUUGGUGGUUUUACAGCAAGAAACUUCCAGAUUCCUGGAGUCAUGGACCGCAUGGUUUCCCAUUGUUGUUCUAAUCUGCCCUUCUCACUUCAAACCUCUUCUUCCUAAAAGGAGUUAAGGAUGGACUCUGAUGUUGUUGAAGGUAUUUAACAAAAUCUGGAACCGUCUUCUCCUGUUUCUGGUGAGAAGCAGGGCAAAGAGAAACAGAAAAAAAGGGGAGCUGACUGAAACUUGAACGAGCUGGGGAAGUCCAGGUCGAACAUGCACUUACGAGAGACCAACUCUGCACAAAGAAAUCAACAUUAGUUCUUCAAUUUUGGCUCCUCUGACUCCUGCUAUGGGAACGUAUCAGCCAGUGGCUUAUACCUGUGAAAAGCAGCAGAGACAGAAAGCAAUGACUGCAUUUGCCAAGCACAUAAUCACAUUCAACAGGGCUGUCUCUGUUACAUCGUUUCCCAAAAGUUUCCCAGUCUUUCUUUAUCCCAGGAAUACCCAAAUACCUGUCCAUUGUGCAUUUACUAGGGAACUGGAAAGAAUCCUUAUCUUUUAUAAGGAAAAUGGUUUUUACAAUGCGUCAAAUAUAUUUUUCAGUCCUC